UCUCCAAACUUUGAAAUAAAAUGGGUAAAAAAAAUAUAUUAAAAAUAAAAUCAACUCCUGCACCUCGUAAUGGUACUGCAGCCGCGGUUGUAGGGGUUGGCCUGAGCCCCAGGCUGGCAAUUGUAGUACGAGGCUCCUCUCCUAGAGCAGGGAACAGUGUUCCUCUGCAGUGCUCCAUAGCUGAUGUACUUCGUGGUUGCUAAAAUGCGCCUGCUGAUCUCUGAGUCCAACUCAAACUCCUCCCCAUUACUGGCCAAGCACUCUGCUAUGGACCCUUUGCAGGAUGAUCUGAUGGGUAUCCAUCCUAGGUGUUGCUGGUGGUCCACACUUCCCUGAACGGUGGACGAUGUGCUCAUCAAGAUCAAGAUGAAUAGGGCGGCACCACAAAUCAAGAAAGAAGAAAACAAGUUGGCCAUUCUUUGACAAGAAACCACAAAGAAUCUCUCUUUUCCCUUCUCUCUUUGGUUUCUUGUACUAGGGUUUUCUUUUCUUCUUUUUUUCCUUCCUUUAUUUUCUCUCCUGUUUGUUUAGUGGGAAAAUGGCAUUGCUUGUUUAUGAUUGGCUUUGGGUUUUUGUAGAUUUCUUUAUUCUUCUGUUAAGAUGGAGACAACAGCUAAGCUAACAAGCUAAGGCCUGGCCGGAGACUUAAAAGAAACCUACAUUCAAUUAAUGACUUUGUUUCAGGUUUUAUUUACCAAAAUGCCAUUCAUUGAAUUUAUGGGAAGC
Molecule: unclassified non-coding RNA, 726 nt
Filed under: Hevea brasiliensis (rubber tree)
Lineage: Eukaryota; Viridiplantae; Streptophyta; Magnoliopsida; Malpighiales; Euphorbiaceae
Source: RNAcentral